GACGAACGCUGGCGGCGUGCUUAACACAUGCAAGUCGAACGGAAAGGCCCUGCUUGCAGGGUACUCGAGUGGCGAACGGGUGAGUAACACGUGGGUGAUCUGCCCUGCACUUCGGGAUAAGCUUGGGGAACUGGGUCUAAUACCGGAUAGGAACCAUCUUUAGUGUGGUGGUUGGAAAGUUUUUUCGGUGUAGGAUGAGCUCGCGGCCUAUCAGCUUGUUGGUGGGGUAAUGGCCUACCAAGGCGGCGACGGGUAGCCGGCCUGAGAGGGUGUACGGCCACAUUGGGACUGAGAUACGGCCCAGACUCCUACGGGAGGCAGCAGUGGGGAAUAUUGCACAAUGGGCGCAAGCCUGAUGCAGCGACGCCGCGUGGGGGAUGAAGGCCUUCGGGUUGUAAACUCCUUUCGCUAGGGACGAAGCUUUGUUGUGACGGUACCUAGAUAAGAAGCACCGGCUAACUACGUG
This 466-nucleotide ribosomal RNA is filed under the name uncultured bacterium. RNAcentral's name for it is "partial 16S ribosomal RNA". It matches the Rfam family "Bacterial small subunit ribosomal RNA", at positions 28 to 507 of the family's 1533-position model. The record is from RNAcentral.